RNAcentral lists this ribosomal RNA (253 nucleotides) under uncultured bacterium. Its description in RNAcentral is "partial 16S ribosomal RNA". It matches the Rfam family "Bacterial small subunit ribosomal RNA", at positions 524 to 776 of the family's 1533-position model. The record is from RNAcentral.
UACAGAGGGGGCAAGCGUUAUUCGGAAUUACUGGGCGUAAAGCGCACGUAGGCGGACCGGACAGUCAGAGGUGAAAUCCCAGGGCUCAACCUUGGAACUGCCUUUGAAACUAUCGGUCUGGAGUUCGAGAGAGGUGAGUGGAAUUCCGAGUGUAGAGGUGAAAUUCGUAGAUAUUCGGAGGAACACCAGUGGCGAAGGCGGCUCACUGGCUCGAUACUGACGCUGAGGUGCGAAAGCGUGGGGAGCAAACAGG